UACAGAGGUCUCAAGCGUUGUUUGGAUUCAUUGGGCGUAAAGGGUGUGUAGGUGGCGCGCUAAGUCGGGUGUGAAAUUUCGGAGCUUAACUCCGAAACUGCAUUCGAUACUGGCGUGCUUGAGGACUGGAGAGGAGACUGGAAUUUACGGUGUAGCAGUGAAAUGCGUAGAUAUUGGGAGGAACACCGGUGGCGAAGGCGGCCACCUGGGCCGGAACUGACGCUGAGGCGCGAAAGCGUGGGGAGCAAACGGG
Molecule: ribosomal RNA, 253 nt
Filed under: uncultured prokaryote
Description: partial 16S ribosomal RNA
Rfam family: Bacterial small subunit ribosomal RNA
Source: RNAcentral